CCAGUUGGAAACGACUGCUAAUACCGCAUACGCCCUGAGGGGGAAAGGUGGGGAUCUUCGGACCUACCGCGAUUGGAUGCACCCAGGUGGGAUUAGCUAGUUGGUGAGGUAACGGCUCACCAAGGCGACGAUCUCUAGCUGGUCUGAGAGGAUGACCAGCCACACUGGAACUGAGACACGGUCCAGACUCCUACGGGAGGCAGCAGUGGGGAAUAUUGCACAAUGGGGGAAACCCUGAUGCAGCCAUGCCGCGUGUGUGAAGAAGGCCUUCGGGUUGUAAAGCACUUUCAGCGAGGAGGAAAGGGGUGAUGCUAAUACCAUCAUCCUGUGACGUUACUCGCAGAAGAAGCACCGGCUAACUCCGUGCCAGCAGCCGCGGUAAUACGGAGGGUGCAAGCGUUAAUCGGAAUAACUGGGCGUAAAGCGCACGCAGGCGGUCGGAUAAGUCAGAUGUGAAAGCCCCGGGCUCAACCUGGGAACUGCAUUUGAAACUGUUCGACUAGAGUCUUGUAGAGGGGGGUAGAAUUCCAGGUGUAGCGGUGAAAUGCGUAGAGAUCUGGAGGAAUAC
Molecule: ribosomal RNA, 568 nt
Filed under: uncultured bacterium
Lineage: Bacteria
Description: bacterial SSU rRNA
Rfam family: Bacterial small subunit ribosomal RNA
Source: RNAcentral